This 30-nucleotide non-coding RNA is filed under the name Rattus norvegicus (Norway rat). The record is from RNAcentral. Lineage: Eukaryota; Metazoa; Chordata; Mammalia; Rodentia; Muridae.
UAAGCUGAUGGGCAAUGAUGAACUGCUGAU